GCGAGAGUAGUUCAGUUGGUAGAAUGUCUCCUUCCCAAGGAGAAGGUCGCGGGUUCGAAUCCCGUCUCUCGCU
This 73-nucleotide transfer RNA is filed under the name Candidatus Dojkabacteria bacterium. Its description in RNAcentral is "tRNA-Gly". It matches the Rfam family "tRNA". From Rfam's summary of the family: Transfer RNA (tRNA) molecules are approximately 80 nucleotides in length. The record is from RNAcentral.